This 460-nucleotide ribosomal RNA is filed under the name uncultured bacterium. RNAcentral describes it as "partial 16S ribosomal RNA". It matches the Rfam family "Bacterial small subunit ribosomal RNA", at positions 338 to 795 of the family's 1533-position model. The record is from RNAcentral.
CCUACGGGUGGCAGCAGUGAGGAAUAUUGGUCAAUGGGCGAGAGUCUGAACCAGCCAAGUAGCGUGAAGGAUGACUGUCCUAUGGAUUGUAAACUUCUUUUAUAAGGGAAUAAAACGAGGCACGUGUGCCUUUUCGCAUGUACUUGAUGAAUAAGGAUCGGCUAACUCCGUGCCAGCAGCCGCGGUAAUACGGAGGAUCCGAGCGUUAUCCGGAUUUAUUGGGUUUAAAGGGCGCGGAGAUGGGUUGUUAAGUCAGUUGUGAAAGUUUGCGGCUCAACCGUAACAUGGCAGUUGAUACUGGCAGUCUUGAGUACGGUUGAGGUAGGCGGAAUUCGUGGUGUAGCGGUGAAAUGCAUAGAUAUCACGAAGAACCCCGAUUGCGAAGGCAGCAUACCAACCUGUGACUGACAUUGAUGCUCGAAAGUGUGGGUAUCGAACAGGAUUAGAUACCCCGGUAGUC